This 630-nucleotide ribosomal RNA is filed under the name Triticum aestivum (bread wheat). RNAcentral's name for it is "partial small subunit ribosomal RNA". Lineage: Eukaryota; Viridiplantae; Streptophyta; Magnoliopsida; Poales; Poaceae. The record is from RNAcentral.
AUGGAGGAGGGGGAGGCGCUGGACGCAUACGCCGGCAAAAUCGGCGGCAUGGCAGCAAGGUAUGCUGGCCUCGGCUCGACGCUCGACGACACCGCCAUGGUGAAAAAACUGCUCGACACGGUGCCCGAUCGGUUGUAUGCCGCGGUGGCCGGGAUUGAGCAGUUCUGCGACGUGGAGACAAAGGUGUUCGAGGAGGCGUUGAGCAGGCUCAAGGCGUUCGACGAACGCUUACGUCGGCGCACGCAGGACAACGGCGGACGAGGCGGCGAUCAGCUGAUGUUCGCGGCGGCCCAGUGGGAGGCACGGCAGUGUCAGCGCGGCGGCAACCUCGACCACGACGACGUGCGAGCAGCGUGGCUUCGGGCACGAGACGACGGCGCGGGAAGUGCUACAACUGUGACGUUUGUGGCCACUUCUCCCGUGACUGCCGGCAGCCGAAGGAGAAGGCGCUCCUCGCCAACAUCGACGACGAGCCGACCUUACUGUAGGUCGUGUCUUAGGGGGAGAUUGUUAGGAAUAAGACACGGCGGUGGUGGUGACCAGUGUGUGCGUGCGUGUUGGUCGUGCCAGACGCCGUGGCGAGUGUGCGUGUGUGCGUGCAUUGUGUGCGUGUCGAGUCUGUGCUCAUAA